UACGAAGGGGGCAAGCGUUGUUCGGAUUUACUGGGCGUAAAGGGCGCGCAGGCGGUUUUUCAAGUCGGGUGUGAAAGCCCCGGGCUCAACCUGGGAACUGCACUCGAGACUGAAGAACUAGAGUUCGGGAGAGGAUGGCGGAAUUCCCAGUGUAGAGGUGAAAUUCGUAGAUAUUGGGAAGAACACCGGUGGCGAAGGCGGCCAUCUGGACCGAGACUGACGCUGAGGCGCGAAAGCGUGGGGAGCAAACAGG
This 253-nucleotide ribosomal RNA is filed under the name uncultured bacterium. RNAcentral's name for it is "partial 16S ribosomal RNA". It matches the Rfam family "Bacterial small subunit ribosomal RNA", at positions 524 to 776 of the family's 1533-position model. The record is from RNAcentral.